This 317-nucleotide ribosomal RNA is filed under the name Escherichia coli. RNAcentral describes it as "partial 23S ribosomal RNA". It matches the Rfam family "Bacterial large subunit ribosomal RNA", at positions 1570 to 1869 of the family's 2925-position model. The record is from RNAcentral. Lineage: Bacteria; Pseudomonadati; Pseudomonadota; Gammaproteobacteria; Enterobacterales; Enterobacteriaceae.
GAGGCACUACGGUGCUGAAGCAACAAAUGCCCUGCUUCCAGGAAAAGCCUCUAAGCAUCAGGUAACAUCAAAUCGUACCCCAAACCGACACAGGUGGUCAGGUAGAGAAUACCAAGGCGCUUGAGAGAACUCGGGUGAAGGAACUAGGCAAAAUGGUGCCGUAACUUCGGGAGAAGGCACGCUGAUAUGUAGGUGAAGUCCCUCGCGGAUGGAGCUGAAAUCAGUCGAAGAUACCAGCUGGCUGCAACUGUUUAUUAAAAACACAGCACUGUGCAAACACGAAAGUGGACGUAUACGGUGUGACGCCUGCCCGGUGC